This 69-nucleotide transfer RNA is filed under the name Loxodonta africana (African savanna elephant). It matches the Rfam family "tRNA". Rfam says of the family: Transfer RNA (tRNA) molecules are approximately 80 nucleotides in length. Their secondary structure includes four short double-helical elements and three loops (D, anti-codon, and T loops). Further hydrogen bonds mediate the characteristic L-shaped molecular structure. tRNAs have two regions of fundamental functional importance: the anti-codon, which is responsible for specific mRNA codon recognition, and the 3' end, to which the tRNAs corresponding amino acid is attached (by aminoacyl-tRNA synthetases). tRNAs cope with the degeneracy of the genetic code in two manners: having more than one tRNA (with a specific anti-codon) for a particular amino acid; and 'wobble' base-pairing, i.e. permitting non-standard base-pairing at the 3rd anti-codon position. The record is from Rfam by way of RNAcentral. Lineage: Eukaryota; Metazoa; Chordata; Mammalia; Proboscidea; Elephantidae.
GCAUUGGUGGUUCAGUGGUUGAAUUUUUGCUUUCCACGCAGGAGACCCAGUUCUAUUCUGGCCAAUCCA